GGAGUGGGCCAGGCGGUCGCUGCUGGGAUGGUCGAAGAUCAUCCCAGUGGAGGAAAGUCCGGGCUCCGCAGGACACGGUGGUGGAUAACGUCCACCAUCCGCGAGGAUCGGGAAAGUGCCACAGAAAACACACCGCCGAUGGAGGAACCGUGUUUCCUCACAGGUAAGGGUGAAAUGGUGCGGUAAGAGCGCACCGCGUUGCUGGUGACAGCGAUGGCAGGGUAAACCCCACCGGGAGCAAGACCGAGCAGGAGGGAGGAACUGUCCGUUCCGCCUGACCUCCGGGUAGGUCGCGUCGAGGUGGCGAGCAAUCGUCACCCCAGAGAAAUGACCGCUCACGACAUAACCCGGCUUAUCGGCCCACUCCCCUU
Molecule: RNase P RNA, 371 nt
Filed under: Planctomycetaceae bacterium
Lineage: Bacteria; Pseudomonadati; Planctomycetota; Planctomycetia; Planctomycetales; Planctomycetaceae
Description: RNase P RNA component class A
Rfam family: Bacterial RNase P class A
About the family: Ribonuclease P (RNase P) is a ubiquitous endoribonuclease, found in archaea, bacteria and eukarya as well as chloroplasts and mitochondria. Its best characterised activity is the generation of mature 5'-ends of tRNAs by cleaving the 5'-leader elements of precursor-tRNAs. Cellular RNase Ps are ribonucleoproteins.
Source: RNAcentral